CAGAACUCUAUCUUCCCUAAAAAGAAUUACUCUUCUCUUUACUUUCUUUUACUUUCUUCCUAAUAAUCAGCAAAACCGUUAGAUGCACGAUGCGCUGCUCGAAUAGUUGAAAUUAGUUGAAAACGUAAUACCUAAACGUACCUGACUAACUAAAAAUUAUCGUUAGAAAUUUCUAGCGGGCAAAGCUGGGAACGAUUAAAUCGCAAAAUGCAUUGCCACGCGAAAAGAGAAUAUAACGGAUCAGCAAAUGCGAGAAUCAUUUCUCGCGGAGAGGAUAAGCGUUUUCCCGAUAUAUCGAGAGACCGGCGGCCGAGGAGCAGCCCAAGGAAAACAGAGCAACAGAAUCAUCGAGCAUAAAUCUACUAUCCACCGACGUAAUAUUCGCGAUUUAUUAACAUCGUUAAUUCGCUAUGCCAGCGAAGAUUUUCGGGUCAGAAAAUACGUGUGUAACGCUCUUAAUUCUAGAACAUGUUCCUGGAAACUGUGCGUGAUUUUAUCGGCGUUGUCGCGAAGGAGCGUUAUUUCGUCGCGUUUACGCGUUCCAUUUAACCGUCCAGAGUAUAUAAUUGAAAGCGAGUAUCGUUAUCCCGACGUCGAAAUGAAAAAUCGUGCUAUCUGCGACGAAGCUUGUCCCUCGUAACUACUUCUUUACGAUUUGUGCACGAAGAAAACGUGGUAGUUUACAAACAAACGGUAAAAUACGAAGAAAUAACAACGUUGUUGGACACACACGGCUACUUUUAUCGUAAUUAAUUCGAUAAGAAGGAAACGAAUGACCGCGACAUAAAUAAAUGCAAUUUUCUCUUUGGCGUCUGUCAUCGUGGAUCGCCCAUGCGCCUCUAUCGCGGAAAUUGAUUAGACACCGUGGUUUCUAUUCUGGGUGAAUACUGGUGAUAUUCCGAGAUAUUUGGCAUUGUAUCAGGUCAGUUGAAACGUCUACACCUUUCCGAUUGUACGUACGUUCGAUCGUAUAUCUGAAACUUCGCUGGUGGAUUUUUCAUAAAACGCAGGUGGUUGAAAUAUAUGUACAUUUCAAUUUGAAAUUUAAUUUACAUUUCAAUCUGAAAUUCUAUUUGCGUUUCAAGCCGUGUCUCUGGAAUCUAAUUCGCGCUUCGAAUCUGAAAAUUUAAUCUAGGAGAAAAGACGGCGAAGAAAUCGAUCGCUGAUAACGAUAAUUGCAUUCUUUACGAGGCUCGAAUAAAACAUCUACGGGGACAAUUUUCCACUGUUUCUGACAUUUAAUUUUAGAUAUUUCCAAAGCUAUUUGAUAUAAAGAACGUCGGAUACUUGGAAACAGGUCGUAGAGACGCGGCAAUAUUUAGACAAAAUGUUUAGAUAAAACACGAAAAAUUUAACAACGACGAAGUGAACGAAUUGCCGAAAGACGGCUAUGAGCAACGAUAAAUAUUACGUCGAGACUUAAUUAUAAGAAGAAAAACUUUCCGAUGAACCUAGUUGUAACUCUCAAUGCCAUAAAUAGAUUAUAGGCGUUUACACGCUUAAAGCUGCAAAAAUAUACAGAAUCGAGCAUCUAGUAUGCAGAAAUAUGUACAUACAAAGUAUCCAGUGUGAAGUCUUCGUUAUAAUAUCUAACGGUUGGAAGAAAGUCUCUGUUUAGCUUCCAACUACUUUAGUUUUGUACGUUCGAAAAUAUGAAUUUCAAGCAACAUUCACGGCAUAGCCAUAAGACCACCUACACGAAUUUUUUUUUAACCCCUUGUCUCAUAGUAUCGAGCGAGAAUCAUCAGACUGGUAUGGAUUAUGGAUCAAAUGGAACGGAGUCGGACUUGUAUCAAAGUUCAAUUUUAACUCUGGCUUUACUUCCAUAUUAUAAGACCGUAGAUUACUGAAUACAAAUCGUGUAUAAUAUUUCAACGUUUUGCCUCGGACAUGGCGUUAAAGCAGUCGCUAGUUAACGCAGAUGUAUAUAGUCGCGGAAAAGAUCAGAAGGCGAGGGGUUAAGAAGAGACUCGGUUCUCACUAUCGAAUAUUACAAAGUGUUGCAAUAGCGUUGCCUUGUGCGAUCGUGGGCGUAGAUUAAAUUAACGAUGAAUCAUAUUUUUAUGAAAUACGAAAAUUUCACCAUAACACACGGCGAUCGAACACGUCACGAUACGUUGAUAAGAAUCGCUACUAUUUCACGGAAGAAUCGUUCGUUUCGACAUGUUUCUCGGAAGACCGAGAAAGAGGAAAAAUGAGAAAGAGAGCGAGUAUAAUGCAAUAAAAUUUCGUAACGAGAAAUCAAAAUUAUCUUUCUACCCAGUGUUAAAAGCAGUAAGUUAUCGGCUGCUCCACAUAAUUAACUUAACAACGAGCAUAGCGUUGAGUUUCUCGAUUAAUCAUUAGCGCAAAGAGGGAGCGAAACAGGGACAGAGAAAGAGGCACGAUAUCUCGCGUAUUUAUAAUUAUAUUGAAAAAAAGAAGAAAGAAAAGUUACGCUGUCGGAUCUCUAAUCGAGACUCAGAUAUUACCGCUAUUUACCUUUCUUCUUUGACUGGUGCAAACAAAAGACUAUUUGUAUCGUACGGCGGGAUACUUAAAAGGCCGUGAAACGAUUGUACAACACGCGCGCCAAGUGCUAAUAAUUUUUCCGUCGUGCAACUAUUAUAAAAAACGUUUCUUUCGUUAGUCGAAACCGUGCUCCUCGUCCGUGCUUAUCGUACUGGCGAACCGUGUCUAAUUAACCAACAACCAGCUAUCGUCGCAUGAAUACCUUUUAACUACACAACCAACUGCUAGCUAUUUAACCGGCUAACGCUUCUAGUAGAGUAUAGUUGCACCUGCACGCUGCACGGUGCAUGGCAGAUAUUACCUGCGGUGAUUACGAGAUCACGGAACCUUCAAAAUUUUCUCCAAACGAGACAACGUUCGAUUACGUACUCACCUUAGCCAUAGUGAUAGUGUUGGUGGCGGCAUUGAGAUGAACGAAGACGGACAGGAGGAUGGCAGCUUGUAUCAUCGAGAUCAUCAUCGUGUCCUCGGCUGGUGGUACGUCCUCGAGGGUCGAAGGACCGAAGCCACUGGGCCGACACGCACGUAACACGCACGCCACUCACACGCACUCACUGUUCCUAACACAUGGCAUCCUCCUUUUCAUGAUCCCUCUCUCUCUCUCUCUCUCUCUUUCUCUCUCUCUAUCUCUCUCUCAAUCUCCUUUUCCUCUCGUUUGCCGCUUAUUUCUUCCCUCGAAAUGCUUCCACGAUUUCGGCUUCUCGUAACUUUCCUUCACGGUGAUUAAUUUCGACCCUCGAACUCCCUUUCAAAGAACCGCGACGGGGGUAAGUCGCAUGUAAACGAAGACCUCGACGAAAGGAAGCAAAUGUAUGUCCAGCCGUGGCAACUGCCGCCGAGCAACUGGCACUUGCUCGCCUGCUGGAGCAGCCUGUCUCGGCCCGAUGGCAGACUCCCCGUUGCAGUCCUGUGUGUUACGCUCCUCUUCGUCGCUAUCGGAGAAUUUCGAUGGUUAAAAAAGUGACGAGGACUUCGUGCCCGAGCUUCGUUACUCGCUCGCUAUUUCGAGGAAUCGCAGGAUCGCUUAUAUCCAUCGUUAUACGCUUUGCUUUAACCGAUGAUUAUAUCGUCUGAAAUUAUACUCGGUUAAGUUUCGAAAAGAUAAACUCCGUUUUAAAGAGACGUAUUAUUCGAAGGAUUAUUUCAGCGAGAUUUAUGAACAACAAACAAGUCUAAUGCUUUUAUAACGUAUCGUUUACGAUGCGUGGUAGAGCGGUGUCGCUUUGAUCGUUCGACCGUGACUUUUUGAUCGCUUUCGAUGAAAUAAUAUAAUUAUGUAGAAAGUUUUGAUAAUAUAUGUUGAAAAUUAUGCGAGAAAUUUUUUGAUCGACGGAUAUUUGCAUACAAAUUUUUAGCUGCUGCUUAAGUUUUUUAACAAAAUUUGAUUAAACGAAACGAUUAAAUCUCCGAUACUGCUUAUUCAAAAAAAUCAUUUAUGCAACAUUUAUUUUUAUCUCGCUUCGUUAUCGGGUCAUAAUCGCAUCAGCAGCUUUUCGUAUCGGUACCUGAUGUUCUUCUUGAUGCUGUUGCUCCGUCUGAUACAGAUAACAGCAAAAAUAAACUAAUUUCAUAUGAUAUCUCGUUUACGAUGUUACCAAAACAUCCGAUGUGCGCGUAUAAGAGCGGCAAAAGUCGAAACUACCUAUCUAUCCAUAGAUUAUCCGUUUAAAGAGAGUUUCGGUUUCCUUGGAAAAGCAAUUUCCCCCGUCAGAGGAACAACGUACCGUAACACGAUACAUCCGACCACGUUAUGCGUUCUCCUCGAUACGAAUAAAGCAAAUUCGGUGCUCAUUCCGCCUUCUUCGAUACAUACUUCUAGGCAUACGUGUAGUCCCGUGCGAUCGAAGAUUCAUGAGCCAUCGAGAAUUCGAAACCGAUUCAGAACUGGUUGUUUGGCCGAUGGAAUGUAGCUUUUAACAGCGACCGACCAGUUGGUAAAGGGGUGUGAGAGGGUGCAGGAGAAUCGUACGUUUAGAAAUGGACGCACACCUGUGACCAUCCAGGUUCCUCGUUAAAUUUCAAUCGGAGACCUGAUUUAUUCUUUUCGUGUCCGUAGUUCGCGCUUUCAUCGCCCUCCGACCGAUUGUCCUCUGCAGUUCCGCAAAGAACAUCUGGAAUUAGAAAACAAUGUUGCCGUAACCUUUCGAUGGAAUAAUAGAACGUAUUGUUCUUCUGUCCUGUUUUUGUCAACGGUAAAUCACUGCGAAAUGUUUAUGCAAUUUUACGUCUUUAUCGACAUAACUAAAUACGUAACACCUAAAUAGAAAUUUAUUUCAUCUUCUAACUGUUACAGGAAGUACCUUAACUCUCCUUUGCAUAUUUCUGCAUAUCGUACGCAUUCUCUACGCUUUUGCAUUUUUUAAUUUUCCAAAAAUGCAGAAAUAUCCGCGCUAUAGUUAUCAGAUCCCUCCUCGAUGCAACUCGAUACGUUAGAAUUUUUCUUAACGGUGAGUACUUGGUAUCGAUUUCGAUAAAUUCUACAAAUAAGAAAAAGAUACCGAUUAAUUGUCAAUUUAAGAGGAAACGCGAUAGCGAAUGAAGUAUAAAAUCGAUAAUUGGUUCUAUUUGAAAAUCCUAAUUUCGAAAUAUCUAUCGAAGAAGUUCUCGGAGACGAUCCGUUCGAUAAAUAUUUAAUGCCACGUAUGCCCGAUGACGAUUCCGUUAUGGAACCAACGAAUACGUAGUUUAUACAGUUAUCAUUUGUGAUUUAUAACGCAGAACGACGCGCAAAUACCAUAUUUCACUUUACGCUCGUAGACACUACAUAAAGUUAGAUAUAAGGUAGGUCGUGAGAUUAAGCUCCAAGUCAGAUUUAAACCUGGCCGUACGUUUGUACGUUCUAUCGAUAAUUCCUAACGUUGUCGCGUGCAAGCAAUAUCUAUCUUCGAGACACCUGCUCGAGACAAGAAAACACAAUGAUGGUUAAUCGGCCAGAACGAUCGAACUCUUCGAUCGAACUCGUUCCACUGGUAGGCGUAGCGAGCGAGAUAAUAACGCGCUAUUGCUCAGCUACCUACGUAUCCGUGGGUGUAAUUCACUCGUAGGGUUGGCUAUUAACCACCUUUAAACAACUUUACUAGCUGCUUCGUACUCGAUUUGUCUUCCUCUUCUUGACGAAUAACCGACAAGAAAAAUAAUCCUCGUCGUUUCGUCCUUUGUUCUUAAUUCUUAUUAGAAUCUCUUUUUAACUUCUUUCUAUCUAUCGUACACUGACAAUUUAUCUACUAUGACGGUUAUAACGAUGUAAAUACUAAUUUGAAAUAGAAAUGAUUGGAAUAAAUUAUGAUAAUGAAGUAGAGUUUGUUAUUAGGAAAGAUCAUAAAUAUUCAUAGACAGAAGCAAGUUUAGUCUGAGACAUCGGCAGAAAAAAGAAAGAAAGAUGCAGUUAGUCACUGAGUCCGUGGAUGCAUUUAAAGUAGCUGUUGGUAUUUGAAUGCGCUCGGUCCAGCGGAGAAAGUGGCGAGGAUCGUGAGUGCAAUUAUACCGCCGUGUCUGAGGUAACCAGGGAGACAAAAGUCAUUCUACAUUUACAAUCUGCUCUUCGGAUAUUGCUUGUCACUCGUAGUUCAAAUAAAUCACUCGGGCUUUUUAGACACGAUUGACUGUCAAUUUCGAAUAUGAAUAAUCGAGGACAAUAACUAUAAAUCUUUCUUUAAUUUAACUUUCUUUAACGAAUGAAAACUUCUCGAUAAGAUCUGUGUACUCGGAUUUAAAAUAUGCCGUUUACGAUCAGACAUCUCGAUUACUUUACAACGAAUUCUUGUACGUGUAAGUUUAAAAACAAUCCUAAAAAUCUCAAAACUUAAUUAUCAAAACUUAAUAUAAUCCAUAUGGAAGAAAAUGAAGAACGAAGCGUUCAACGAACGACAUUAAUCUUGCACGUUUGCGGGACUUUACGAUCUCUGACGGGAGACGUUCGACUUAAAGCAAUAGCCGGUUGUUAAAACAGUCCCAAGCGAUUUCAGAGGGAUUUUACUUUCCUCUGUGGAAUUCCAAUCGGUCGCGAAUUCUAAAAUCGGCGAAGUGAUUGCGUCCCUGCUCUUCGUGCACGAAGGGACUUAACAGGCUGCUCGUUGGCCAAGCCGCCGUCGGCUGGACAGCAACUCACUCGUCGUCCACUCCGGCACACCUGUUCACUCAGGUAUGCGAUCUUCCCUCUCGCUUUUUCUCCCUCCCUUUUUCCCAUCUUUCUUCCUCUGCCUCUUUCUUCUCGUUACUCGUCCCUUCUCUGCCAUCUCUUUUGUCUCUUUCUUGCUCCUCAUCACGACAACAGACCAACGACGGUGGUUUACCGUUGUCUCGCUGAUCCUGAACCCACCAAGAGCCGGUUCAUUCGCGACGUGCAAACUUCUGCUAGUAUAAGUCACCCUGCAAUUUUCUGCUCCGUAAUUAUCCUCCUCUUCUUCUCCUUCGCUCUCUUUCUUUCUCUUUCUUUCCACGCACAUGUGUAUAUAUCUUCGUGUCCGAUCGAUCUGUAAUUGAUUAGCCCUACCGGAUUCUUUCGGUCACUUUCGACGAAAUCGUAUUUUUCUAUCGUUAGAAGAUUGAAGUGGCUGCUGUAACAAGGAGGCAGCUCCGUUUUCCAAUAAUUCGAGUAAACCAACAAAAAAUCAAUUAAGAUGCGGAUCUCUUUUGUCUCCUUAUUGCUGCAAACCGUUUCUUAAAUUUGAUCUGAAAAUCAUGAAAGAAUCAUUACUAAUGUGUAUCUCAUCGUGACGUAGAACAUUCCAAGACCGCACCAGAAUCGUAGUUAUUUAUAGAUAUAGUUAAUUAUGAUCUUAGUUAUGAUACAUCGACUUUUAUUUAUUCGAUGAUAUUAGUGUUUCUCCUUAUCCGUGUAUCGUCAGCUGGAAAAAAAUGCGUCUUUUUUGUGACAUUUUCCCGUUCACGGUGACUUUACGGUAUCUCCAAGUUUCCAUUUAUUACCUCGCUGCGAGAAGCCCACGGCUGGUCCAUAGUCCUGUCAGUUUCAGAUUGUUUCGGACCGAUCGGAACAAGUGGUCGGUUCAGUCUAUAUGGGGGCUCUUCCCGAGAAGGGCUCUCGACCUGGUCGAGCAGAAGAACCAGACAAUAGGACGCCAACAUCCAAAGUCCCCUUGCCUGCACUUGUCUUUUUCGCUGUGUUACCCUCGUUUGUUAUAGCGUUUUUAUGCCUUGAAGAAUAACGACAAUAGAAAAGUCGUUCGUCGGUUUAUAAUUAGACUCUGUUAAUUCUUCUUUCGUUUUUACAUUUUCUCGUAUCCAUGACGGUGUUGAGAAAAUUAUUACAGUGUACACUAUCGCCAAUAAGUAUUUCUACAUGCUGGUAUAAUCCUAAGAAGUUGAUAUUUCUAUUACAUUUCCAAAAUUACGAUCGAAGAACGUGUUAAUUCUAUGUCAUCAAAUAUUUUGGUAAAUUUAAACUAAUAAAGAAAUUACCAUAUCAGCAUCGCAAGUGACUUUGCAACAAAUUGUGUAAUAGAUAACUGACAGUGUAUAAAACCUACAUCAACUCUUAGAACGCGACUAGAAACAUAUUUCAAUCGCUGUAACAUUGCAACGUUGUACAGACGCACCUAAAUUAAGUAUUUCCACAAGAUCGAUUUUUAUAUGCUUGUAAUUAUUGCUCUUUUAAUUAUACUAAUUAAAUAUUAACUAUAGAUUACAUAGAUAUCUACUAAUUAUGUAUAUAUAUGAUUAUAUUUUAUACAUUUGCAUUAAUUUGAAAGUGUUCUAAUAUGUACUUAUGGACGACAGUGUAUCCAUUAUAAUGUAAAAACGUGAAUAUAGAAGGUAGUUUAAUAGACAGGUUUUAAGGUGAAGCAGAGUGACGCUGGUUAUAGCACUGUGCGUCUUCUAUGCAAAUGUAAUUCUCCGUUGAACCUCUUCGAGUCUAAUUUGCCGUAGGUAUACAGAAAUGAAACGAGCCGCUGCGCUGCCUGCAAGCGGUCUUGGAGCUUCAACGCAUUUCAAGGACGGUGUUAGAUUUUUAGAGUGUCGCGCGAACGGAGCUUGGUGCGUUAACUAUCGACUUCAUUGCCUUCUUGCAACAUUUCGCUUGUAGGGAGUAUCGCUGAAUAUUUCUGGAGUAUCGUUUUUCUGUUAUAGCAUGUAAUACUUUUUAAAUUACAGCGAAUGUAUUUCAUCAAAUAUAUACGAUUAGAAAAGUUGAAAUUAUGUUACGUUGAAAUAUCGAUUGUUCGACUAAUAAAUAAAUUGUAAAUCAACUAUUAAUUAUUUCAAUAAAGUUUUUAUAUAAAAAGGAA
This is a long non-coding RNA of Bombus terrestris (buff-tailed bumblebee), 8756 nucleotides long. RefSeq lists it as uncharacterized. The transcript has 2 exons. NCBI's taxonomy places the organism in Eukaryota, Metazoa, Arthropoda, Insecta, Hymenoptera, Apidae. The record is from RefSeq and is a predicted model, not a curated record.